This 536-nucleotide unclassified non-coding RNA is filed under the name Hevea brasiliensis (rubber tree). The record is from RNAcentral. Lineage: Eukaryota; Viridiplantae; Streptophyta; Magnoliopsida; Malpighiales; Euphorbiaceae.
GGGUCUUCGGCAAUUCAAGAAGAUAGCAUAAUGAAAGAAGACUUUCCCGCAGAACAAGCAGAUGACAUGAAAGAAGCCGUAGCUGAAGUUAGGAACACUGUUGAAGUUGGGAAGUCGGAUGAAAAGUUCAUUGAAGAAGGGUUGCGUAAAAGGAAAAUUGUAAAAGUUUUGAAGGUCAAAAAGAAAAUUAUAAAGAAAUCCCCAGCUAGCGGUGUGUUGAAGAGAAAAAAGGCGCAAGUUGAACAGGAAGAUGACAAAAAGGAAAAAGUGGUUCGUGUAGCUCAAGGGGAAGAGACACAGGUUGAACAAGAAGAUGACAAAAAGGAAAAAGAGGUUCCUGUAGCUCAAGAGGUGGAAGAAACACUUGAACCCCAGAAUCCCACCGAAAAUUCCAAACUAGAGUCAAAGGUUCCUAUAGAUCAAGAAGUGGAAGAAACAGCUCAACCUCAGAAUCCCAUUGAAAAUUCCAAACCAGAGUCAAAGGCGAAGAAGACUAACAAUGUUUUGAAGGUCAAAAGGAAAAUUGUAAAGAAAUC